GGGGAUUUGGCUCAGUGGUAGAGUGCUUGCCUAGCAAGCGCAAGGCCCUGGGUUCAAUCCCCAGCUCCA
This 69-nucleotide transfer RNA is filed under the name Rattus norvegicus (Norway rat). It matches the Rfam family "tRNA". Rfam says of the family: Transfer RNA (tRNA) molecules are approximately 80 nucleotides in length. Their secondary structure includes four short double-helical elements and three loops (D, anti-codon, and T loops). Further hydrogen bonds mediate the characteristic L-shaped molecular structure. tRNAs have two regions of fundamental functional importance: the anti-codon, which is responsible for specific mRNA codon recognition, and the 3' end, to which the tRNAs corresponding amino acid is attached (by aminoacyl-tRNA synthetases). tRNAs cope with the degeneracy of the genetic code in two manners: having more than one tRNA (with a specific anti-codon) for a particular amino acid; and 'wobble' base-pairing, i.e. permitting non-standard base-pairing at the 3rd anti-codon position. Lineage: Eukaryota; Metazoa; Chordata; Mammalia; Rodentia; Muridae. The record is from Rfam by way of RNAcentral.